Molecule: ribosomal RNA, 482 nt
Filed under: uncultured bacterium
Lineage: Bacteria
Description: partial 16S ribosomal RNA
Rfam family: Bacterial small subunit ribosomal RNA
Source: RNAcentral
AUUGAACGCUGGCGGCAUGCCUUACACAUGCAAGUCGAACGGUAACGGGCCUUCGGGUGCCGACGAGUGGCGAACGGGUGAGUAAUACAUCGGAACGUGCCCGAUCGUGGGGGAUAACGAGGCGAAAGCUUUGCUAAUACCGCAUACGAUCUACGGAUGAAAGCAGGGGACCGCAAGGCCUUGCGCGGACGGAGCGGCCGAUGGCAGAUUAGGUAGUUGGUGGGAUAAAAGCUUACCAAGCCGACGAUCUGUAGCUGGUCUGAGAGGAUGAUCAGCCACACUGGGUCUGAGACACGGCCCAGACUCCUACGGGAGGCAGCAGUGGGGAAUUUUGGACAAUGGGCGCAAGCCUGAUCCAGCCAUGCCGCGUGCAGGAUGAAGGCCUUCGGGUUGUAAACUGCUUUUGUACGGAACGAAAAGCCUUCUUUUAAUACAGGAGGGUCAUGACGGUACCGUAAGAAUAAGCACCGGCUAACUACGUG